This 73-nucleotide transfer RNA is filed under the name Bos taurus (domestic cattle). It matches the Rfam family "tRNA". From Rfam's summary of the family: Transfer RNA (tRNA) molecules are approximately 80 nucleotides in length. Their secondary structure includes four short double-helical elements and three loops (D, anti-codon, and T loops). Further hydrogen bonds mediate the characteristic L-shaped molecular structure. tRNAs have two regions of fundamental functional importance: the anti-codon, which is responsible for specific mRNA codon recognition, and the 3' end, to which the tRNAs corresponding amino acid is attached (by aminoacyl-tRNA synthetases). tRNAs cope with the degeneracy of the genetic code in two manners: having more than one tRNA (with a specific anti-codon) for a particular amino acid; and 'wobble' base-pairing, i.e. permitting non-standard base-pairing at the 3rd anti-codon position. The record is from Rfam by way of RNAcentral. RNAcentral also lists the same sequence under 5 other names. Lineage: Eukaryota; Metazoa; Chordata; Mammalia; Artiodactyla; Bovidae.
UUCCCUACAGUCCACUGGUUAGGACUCUGUGCUUUCACUGCUGAGGGCACAGGUUCAAUCCCUGGUUGGGGAA